Molecule: ribosomal RNA, 468 nt
Filed under: uncultured bacterium
Lineage: Bacteria
Description: partial 16S ribosomal RNA
Rfam family: Bacterial small subunit ribosomal RNA
Source: RNAcentral
GACGAACGCUGGCGGCGUGCUUAACACAUGCAAGUCGAACGGAAAGGCCCUGCUUUGGUGGGGUGCUCGAGUGGCGAACGGGUGAGUAACACGUGAGUAACCUGCCCUUGACUUUGGGAUAACUUCAGGAAACUUGGGCUAAUACCGGAUAGGAGCUCCUGCUGCAGGGUGGGCGUGGGAAGGUUUAGGCGGUUGGGGAUGGACUCGCGGCUUAUGAGAUUGUUGGUGGGGUAGUGGCUGACCAAGGCUUUGACGGGUAGCCGGCCUGAGAGGGUGACCGGACACAUUGGGAUUGAGCUACGGCACAGACUACUAUGGGAGGCAGCAGUGGGGAAUAUUGUACAAUGGGAUGGAGCCUGAUGCAGACCAGCAGUGCGCGGGAUGACGGCAUGCGGGUAGUGAACCGCAUUCGCCUGAGACGAAGCGAGAGUGACGGUAACGGGUAAAGAAGCACCGGCUAACUACGUG